GGCAGGGCGGGUGCUAUACAUGCAGUCGAGCGAACCGAUUAAGAGCUUGCUCUUAAUAAGUUAGCGGCGGACGGGUGAGUAACACGUGGGUAACCUGCCUAUAAGACUGGGAUAACUCCGGGAAACCGGGGCUAAUACCGGAUAACAUUUUGCACCGCAUGGUGCGAAAUUGAAAGGCGGCUUCGGCUGUCACUUAUAGAUGGACCUGCGGCGCAUUAGCUAGUUGGUGAGGUAACGGCUCACCAAGGCGACGAUGCGUAGCCGACCUGAGAGGGUGAUCGGCCACACUGGGACUGAGACACGGCCCAGACUCCUACGGGAGGCAGCAGUAGGGAAUCUUCCGCAAUGGACGAAAGUCUGACGGAGCAACGCCGCGUGAGCGAUGAAGGCCUUCGGGUCGUAAAGCUCUGUUGUUAGGGAAGAACAAGUGCUAGUUGAAUAAGCUGGCACCUUGACGGUACCUAACCAGAAAGCCACGGCUAACUACGUGCCAGCAGCCGCGGUAAUACGUAGGUGGCAAGCGUUAUCCGGAAUUAUUGGGCGUAAAGCGCGCGCAGGUGGUUUCUUAAGUCUGAUGUGAAAGCCCACGGCUCAACCGUGGAGGGUCAUUGGAAACUGGGAGACUUGAGUGCAGAAGAGGAAAGUGGAAUUCCAUGUGUAGCGGUGAAAUGCGUAGAGAUAUGGAGGAACACCAGUGGCGAAGGCGACUUUCUGGUCUGUAACUGACACUGAGGCGCGAAAGCGUGGGGAGCAAACAGGAUUAGAUACCCUGGUAGUCCACGCCGUAAACGAUGAGUGCUAAGUGUUAGAGGGUUUCCGCCCUUUAGUGCUGAAGUUAACGCAUUAAGCACUCCGCCUGGGGAGUACGGCCGCAAGGCUGAAACUCAAAGGAAUUGACGGGGGCCCGCACAAGCGUGGAGCAUGUGGUUUAAUUCGAAGCAACGCGAAGAACCUUACCAGUCUUGACAUCUCUGAAAACCUAGAGAUAGGCUUCCCCUUCGGGGCAGGAGUGACAGUGGUGCAUGAUGUCGUCAGCCUCGUGUCAUUGAGAUGUAGGGUUAGUCCAGCACGAGCGCAACCCAUGCAUCUAGCUGCAUCAUAGUUGGCACACUCCGA
This 1116-nucleotide ribosomal RNA is filed under the name Bacillus pseudomycoides. RNAcentral's name for it is "bacterial SSU rRNA". It matches the Rfam family "Bacterial small subunit ribosomal RNA", at positions 38 to 1144 of the family's 1533-position model. The record is from RNAcentral. Lineage: Bacteria; Bacillati; Bacillota; Bacilli; Caryophanales; Bacillaceae.